AAGGUUCUUCUAACAAGUUCUGUACAGUCAUGAUAUAACAAUGUUGUUACAACCUUGUGUCAUCAACCUUGUAACAUUCUUGUUAUAUCAUGACUGUAUCAGACUUUUUAGAGCAACCUU
This 120-nucleotide microRNA precursor is filed under the name Paramuricea clavata. Lineage: Eukaryota; Metazoa; Cnidaria; Anthozoa; Malacalcyonacea; Plexauridae. The record is from RNAcentral.